Molecule: non-coding RNA, 104 nt
Organism: Lupinus albus (white lupine)
Lineage: Eukaryota; Viridiplantae; Streptophyta; Magnoliopsida; Fabales; Fabaceae
Source: the annotation of a GenBank genome assembly
AUCUAAUGGUGAGGGCAAUUUGUGCACAAUAUCUUAAAUCUCUCCCAAUACUCAUACAAUCUCUCACCAUGUUGCUACCUAAUUCUAGAGAUGUCCUUUAUGAU